CCUGGAGUUACUGUAAAAGACUUUAACCAGCAGGAGAUCGUCAGAGCUCUAGCAGCCUUCCUCAAAAAGUCCAGGAAACUGAGAGUCCCGGAAUGUGUGGACACAGUAAAGCUGGCCAAACAUAAAGAGCUUGCCCAUAUGAUGAGAACUGGUUCUACCCACGAAAUGCUUCCACAGCUCGGCACCUGUACCUCCGCGGUGGUGCAGGGGUUGGUUCUGUGACCAAGAUCUACAGAGGAUGGCAGAGAAAUGGUGUUAGGCCCAGCCACUUAAGCAGAGGCUCUGAGAGUGUGGCCAGCCAGGUCCUCCAAGCCCUGGAGGGGCUGAAAAUGGCCGAGAUGGGGACUGCAAGCUAACACAUCAGGGACAGAGACAUCUGGACAGGAUCGCUGGACAGGUAGCAACUGCCAACAAAAAGCAUUAA
RNAcentral lists this long non-coding RNA (424 nucleotides) under Mus musculus (house mouse). RNAcentral's name for it is "long non-coding RNA chrX:103336829-103337253". The record is from RNAcentral. Lineage: Eukaryota; Metazoa; Chordata; Mammalia; Rodentia; Muridae.